AGCCUGGAGCUGGUGUCCUGCAAGUGCUGGGGUCGGAGGCUCGCACAGCCAGGUCACAUGGGUCGCCGGGACAGUCCUUGCUUCCAGCCAGCCUGGAGCCUCGGGUGGGAAGGGAGGCCCUGGCUGAGGGGCUCCCGUGAGCGGGGGCAGCGGCUGGCCCGCCCUCUGCACUGCAGAACGUGGUAGACGCCGGGAGGCUUCUGUCAGCCCACAUUGAUGACCUCGCAGUCGCCGCGGGUCACUCGUCUGCUUCCUGGGGACUGGGCCCAGUGCUUGGGGUCGGCUGGGCUCAUCUGGGGCUCAGGACCCCCUCCCAGUGCACAUGGUGGGACAGGAUCCAGCUCCUUGCAGCCGUGUGACCGAGGGCCCCACUUCCUGGCUGGCUGGUGGCCGGGGACCACGGGCCGCUCCUCAAGGCCACUGUGGGUCUGGACCACGUGGCCCCUCACAUGACAGCUUAUUUUGUUUACAAGGCCUGCGGGACAGGCUUGUGUCUCUGACUUUCAGCAUCUCUGCUCUCUACACUUUCACUGAUGAGCUCACCUAACUAGGUCAGGCCCACCAAGAUAAUCUCUGUUGAUGAAUUGAAAGUCAUCUGAUUAAGGCCCUUAGUUACACCAGCCAAGGCCACAUGAUGCAGGAGCGGCAGAAGCGACAGCCAGCACACCGCCAGGUCUGGUGUGGGACUGACCGGCUCCAGCCAGACCAUGUUCUACGCAGAGGUGACGGAUUCCCAGCGGAGCGGCCUGGGGGGGGGCCUGGCAGAGGAGGGCGAGCUCAUCGAGGUGGUGCACCUGCCCCUGGAUGGUGCCCGGGCCUUCGCAGAUGACCCGGACAUCCCCAAGACCCUCGGCGUCAUCUUUGGCAUCUCAUGGUUCCUCAGCUGUGUGGCCCCUGGGCUGGGUCCCCGGUGAGACCCCAGGGGGUCGAGGCAAGGUCGUCCUGGCCACCUGCCCUGCAGAUCAAAUAAAGGCUUGUGUAACUCCA
Molecule: long non-coding RNA, 987 nt
Organism: Hyaena hyaena (striped hyena)
Lineage: Eukaryota; Metazoa; Chordata; Mammalia; Carnivora; Hyaenidae
Exons: 2
Source: RefSeq, a predicted model, not a curated record